RNAcentral lists this ribosomal RNA (279 nucleotides) under uncultured bacterium. RNAcentral describes it as "partial 16S ribosomal RNA". It matches the Rfam family "Bacterial small subunit ribosomal RNA", at positions 506 to 784 of the family's 1533-position model. The record is from RNAcentral.
UGCCAGCAGCCGCGGUAAUACAGAGGGUGCGAGCGUUAAUCGGAAUUACUGGGCGUAAAGGGCACGUAGGCGGCAUAAUAAGUCAGAUGUGAAAACCCUGGGCUCAACCUGGGAAUGGCAUUUGAAACUAUUAAGCUAGAGUACAGUAGAGGGCAGUGGAAUUUCCGGUGUAGCGGUGAAAUGCGUAGAUAUCGGAAGGAACACCAGUGGCGAAGGCGACUGUCUGGACUGAUACUGACGCUGAGGUGCGAAAGCGUGGGGAGCGAACAGGAUUAGAUA